RNAcentral lists this ribosomal RNA (293 nucleotides) under uncultured bacterium. Its description in RNAcentral is "partial 16S ribosomal RNA". It matches the Rfam family "Bacterial small subunit ribosomal RNA", at positions 93 to 403 of the family's 1533-position model. The record is from RNAcentral.
GAGUGGCGCACGGGUGAGUAGCGCGUGGGAACCUGCCCUNUGGUUCGGGAUAACCGCGGGAAACUGCGGCUAAUACCGGAUACGCCCUUUGGGGGAAAGAUUUAUCGCCGAAGGAGGGGCCCGCGUCCGAUUAGGUAGUUGGUGAGGUAACGGCUCACCAAGCCUGUGAUCGGUAGCUGGUCUGAGAGGAUGAUCAGCCACACUGGGACUGAGACACGGUCCAGACUCCUACGGGAGGCAGCAGUGGGGAAUAUUGCGCAAUGGGCGAAAGCCUGACGCAGCAACGCCGCGUG